RNAcentral lists this ribosomal RNA (484 nucleotides) under uncultured bacterium. Its description in RNAcentral is "partial 16S ribosomal RNA". It matches the Rfam family "Bacterial small subunit ribosomal RNA", at positions 30 to 507 of the family's 1533-position model. The record is from RNAcentral.
AUUGAACGCUGGCGGCAGGCCUAACACAUGCCAGUCGAGCGGAUGAAGGGAGCUUGCUCCUGGAUUCAGCGGCGGACGGGUGAGUAAUGCCUAGGAAUCUGCCUGUUAGUGGGGGAUAACGUCCGGAAACGGGCGCUAAUACCGCAUACGUCCUGAGGGAGAAAGUGGGGGAUCUUCGGACCUCACGCUAUCAGAUGAUCCUAGGUCGGAUUAGCUAGUUGGUGGGGUAAAGGCCUACCAAGGCGACGAUCCGUAACUGGUCUGAGAGGAUGAUCAGUCACACUGGAACUGAGACACGGUCCAGACUCCUACGGGAGGCAGCAGUGGGGAAUAUUGGACAAUGGGCGAAAGCCUGAUCCAGCCAUGCCGCGUGUGUGAAGAAGGUCUUCGGAUUGUAAAGCACUUUAAGUUGGGAGGAAGAGCAGUAAGUUAAUACCUUGCUGUUUUGACGGUACCAACAGAAUAAGCACCGGCUAACUUCGUG